AUUGAACGCUGGCGGCAUGCCUUACACAUGCAAGUCGAACGGCAGCACGGGUGCUUGCACCUGGUGGCGAGUGGCGAACGGGUGAGUAAUACAUCGGAACAUGUCCUGUAGUGGGGGAUAGCCCGGCGAAAGCCGGAUUAAUACCGCAUACGAUCUACGGAUGAAAGCGGGGGACCUUCGGGCCUCGCGCUAUAGGGUUGGCCGAUGGCUGAUUAGCUAGUUGGUGGGGUAAAGGCCUACCAAGGCGACGAUCAGUAGCUGGUCUGAGAGGACGACCAGCCACCCUGGGGCUGAGACACGGCCCAGACUCCUACGGGAGGCAGCAGUGGGGAAUUUUGGACAAUGGGCGAAAGCCUGAUCCAGCAAUGCCGCGUGUGUGAAGAAGGCCUUCGGGUUGUAAAGCACUUUUGUCCGGAAAGAAAUCCUUGGCCCUAAUACGGUCGGGGGAUGACGGUACCGGAAGAAUAAGCACCGGCUAACUACGU
Molecule: ribosomal RNA, 485 nt
Filed under: uncultured bacterium
Lineage: Bacteria
Description: partial 16S ribosomal RNA
Rfam family: Bacterial small subunit ribosomal RNA
Source: RNAcentral